This is a long non-coding RNA of Lactuca sativa (garden lettuce), 247 nucleotides long. RefSeq lists it as uncharacterized. Lineage: Eukaryota; Viridiplantae; Streptophyta; Magnoliopsida; Asterales; Asteraceae. The record is from RefSeq and is a predicted model, not a curated record.
AAUUGUAGCUAAUAGGCUGCGAUCAAUGGUGGUUGCUGAGGUGCCUAAGCUUGCUUCAGCAGCUGAGUACUUCUUUAAAAUGGGAGUUGAAGGGAAGAGGUUUCGACCCACUGUUAUUUUAUUAAUGGCAACAGCUUUAAAUGUUCAAAUUUCUAAACCAACAUCAGAAGGGGUUAUGGAUAUGUUCUCAACAGCGUUGAGGUUGAGACAACAAUCGAUUGCUGAAAUCACAGAGAUGAUUCAUGUU